Molecule: ribosomal RNA, 530 nt
Filed under: uncultured bacterium
Lineage: Bacteria
Description: bacterial SSU rRNA
Rfam family: Bacterial small subunit ribosomal RNA
Source: RNAcentral
AAUAGAUACCCGGGUAGUCCACGCCGUAAACGAUGAAUGCUAGGUGUUAGGGGUUUCGAUACCCUUGGUGCCGAAGUUAACACAUUAAGCAUUCCGCCUGGGGAGUACGGUCGCAAGACUGAAACUCAAAGGAAUUGACGGGGACCCGCACAAGCAGUGGAGUAUGUGGUUUAAUUCGAAGCAACGCGAAGAACCUUACCAGGUCUUGACAUCCCUCUGAAUCCUCUAGAGAUAGAGGCGGCCUUCGGGACAGAGGAGACAGGUGGUGCAUGGUUGUCGUCAGCUCGUGUCGCGAGAUGUUGGGUUAAGUCCCGCAACGAGCGCAACCCUUGAUUUUAGUUGCCAGCACAUUAAGGUGGGCACUCUAGAAUGACUGCCGGUGACAAACCGGAGGAAGGCGGGGAUGACGUCAAAUCAUCAUGCCCCUUAUGACCUGGGCUACACACGUACUACAAUGGCCAGUACAACGGGAAGCGAAGUCGCGAGACGGAGCCAAUCCUAUCAAAGCUGGUCUCAGUUCGGAUUGCAGG